GUCCACGCCCUAAACGAUGUCUACUAGUUGUCGGGUCUUAAUUGACUUGGUAACGCAGCUAACGCGUGAAGUAGACCGCCUUGGGAGUACGGUCGCAAGAUUAAAACUCAAAGGAAUUGACGGGGACCCGCACAAGCGGUGGAUGAUGUGGAUUAAUUCGAUGCAACGCGAAAACCUUACCUACCCUUGACAUGGCUGUAACCUUUAAGAGAUUAGAGGGUGCUCGAAAGAGAACCAGUACACAGGUGCUGCAUGGCUGUCGU
RNAcentral lists this ribosomal RNA (263 nucleotides) under uncultured bacterium. RNAcentral describes it as "partial 16S ribosomal RNA". It matches the Rfam family "Bacterial small subunit ribosomal RNA", at positions 793 to 1055 of the family's 1533-position model. The record is from RNAcentral.